AGGGGCUUGUGGGAAAAGAUGGACAACCUGGACCUGCGGGCUUGAGGGGUCUAACAGGAGUCGCCGGACAAAUGGGUCCUGCAGGACAUAAUGGUUUACCAGGAAGGCCGGGAGAGAAGGGAUCACAAGGAGAGCCUGGAAAGGCAGCUGACCUCUCGGACCUGGAUCUGAAGGAUGUUUGCUCAGACUGCCCUGCAGGUCCAGCUGGAGCACCCGGUCUCCCAGGAGUCCCCGGAGAGAAAGGACACAUCGGACCUCCAGGGAAAGAUGGUCAAGACGGUU
Molecule: long non-coding RNA, 282 nt
Organism: Notothenia coriiceps (black rockcod)
Lineage: Eukaryota; Metazoa; Chordata; Actinopteri; Perciformes; Nototheniidae
Exons: 5
Source: RefSeq, a predicted model, not a curated record